RNAcentral lists this ribosomal RNA (250 nucleotides) under uncultured bacterium. Its description in RNAcentral is "partial 16S ribosomal RNA". It matches the Rfam family "Bacterial small subunit ribosomal RNA", at positions 524 to 773 of the family's 1533-position model. The record is from RNAcentral.
UACGAGGGGGGCAAGCGUUGUUCGGAAUUAUUGGGCGUAAAGGGUGCGUAGGCGGUUCGGUAAGUUUGAUGUGAAAUCUUCGGGCUCAACCCGAAGCCUGCAUCGAAAACUGCCGGGCUUGAGUGUGGGAGAGGUGAGUGGAAUUUCCGGUGUAGCGGUGAAAUGCGUAGAUAUCGGAAGGAACACCUGUGGCGAAAGCGGCUCACUGGACCACAACUGACGCUGAUGCACGAAAGCUAGGGGAGCAAAC